RNAcentral lists this long non-coding RNA (211 nucleotides) under Mytilus galloprovincialis (Mediterranean mussel). The record is from RNAcentral. Lineage: Eukaryota; Metazoa; Mollusca; Bivalvia; Mytilida; Mytilidae.
GGGGGUGAAAUUACACUGUAAACAAAUUUGGGUCCAGAAUUUUAAAGGAAAGCAGUGAUUUGGUCCAGCUGAAAAAGGUUGAAAAUUAGCACUUCGGAAGCUGUCAAAAGAUUUCAAGACGCCCUAAACAUAAAAUUGUCCAUAUUUUGAGUUAGAGCCGAUGAAGUUUUCUAUAAUUUUAAUAUAAUUUGUCCCAAAAGUAGUACAACAC